CACAUCGUUCAAGUCACAGGAGAGAGGAGAGAGAAGAGCGAGAGAGAGCUCACAUGGAGUCUCGUGUAUUUAUGGAGCUCAGUUUUCCCUCCCAGGCAGGAUAUCUCGGCAGUGCUUUCCAGGCCAGAGGGAGUUGUGCUGUAGCAGUCACAGGCUGCAGGGGUGUGCUGUGGGCGGGCUGCCGGGCCGGUUUGCCUUGACUGACAGUCUGGCAGCAGGGCCUGCAGCUCUGCCUGUGCUCUGUGUGGGCAGCAGGCCUUGCCCUCCAGCUCUGCCCUGUGCCCCAAGCACAGGCCUUGUGUGCAGGUUUUGCCAUAUUCCUGCUGGUCCAGGCCCAGCCCUUCCCCACAUGCACACACACACUCACGGUGAGGUGCUUCCGACCCAUAUCAAUAAUUCAGUGAGAUUUGGAUCCAGGAUCUCACAAAGGAUUCUUAGGCUUUUACAAACUCAAGUAAGGUGAACUAAUAAAGAUAAACACUUGCUCAGCCUGUGAUGAUACUGUGGAGCUUCAGUGCGUAAUACCUCUCAGACCAAGCAUCUCGCAAGACUCAUGAAGAACCAACUGGGCACAGGCAAACAAGACUUCUAAUAAUCCAAAUAUAUAUAAUCCAAAUAUGUUUGUUGGAUGAAUAUACUGCCUCUGACUCAAAUGUUUGUACAAAUAACCACUCUCAGAAAGCAUGAAGAAUCACUAAUAGGUAAUGGACUUGUUCGCUGUGUCUAGUGGCACAUCUUUUUCUUAUGCUAAAGUAUCUAUGAGACUUAGAGAACCACAGCUUUGAUUUAGGAUGUCAGUACUCAUGUUCCCUUUUUAUUUGGUGCUACCUAGAAUGACCUAAAAUAACAAAAAUUGGCAUAGGCAUUUUGCAUUUGGUCCUUCUCUAUUCAGGUGUCUUCAUCUCAGCCAGAACAUAAAAAUAACAAAAACAACUUUCCUUUAAAAGGACAUGUUAGUAAUUUUGUCUAUAUACAGUUACUUUUCAAAUUGUGUUAAUCUGGUGGAUGUCUAUAUAUUUUUAGUGUUCUACUCUUUACUUGAAAACUAUUCAUAAUUUGUAUUGUGUUCACACAUAAGCUCUGCACUGUGUUGAUGAACAUAGUUUAUGUCCCGUUCUUUUCCCACCUUUCUGUUAUGACCUCAUUUUUUCAGGUGGCUGUUUCCAAUAAAUUUGACUCAAUAGUAUUUUUCUUGGCUAUGCAAGAGGUGGGCAUCCAAGAAUCAGUGCCUUAUUUCAGGACCUCAAACGACAUUUUAGAUGAUACUGAAAUAAAAUCCCCAACAAAAACAUUCUAUUAGAGUAUAGGUACUAAUUUUGGGAACAUGGAGGGUGUAAUCCAGCUGUUCCUUAAGGCUCGAGGCUUCUACAGCAGUGAUAUGAAAAAGACAAUCCUAACAGCAAAGCAGAUAUUCUUAAAAAAGUAAUUUCAGAAUAGCAAGGAACAAAGCCAAAAAUUCCUCAGGAUCAAUAGGAUUUUCCAUUUAAUAUUUAAAGACAUGGUUUGGUUCUGGAUAAACUACUUAUUCAACUUUCCCAGCCAUAAAAAACCAUGAUUCUAAAUGAGAUGAAGGGCAAUUUUGGCCAAGCAUCUAAUGGACUUAUUUAAACAGCACAGCAAAACAGAAGGGUGAUAGUUCGUGGUGGAGGGUGUCUUUCAUGGUGUGCGUUUUUUUUUUAAAUUGUGUUAAUAAAAUCUUAAAAAACCUUUUAUCCCAUAAAAGGCUGUGUUUUCAUACCUGCUGUUUAUGCUUUCAAAAUGGACAGUAUGCAAGUCCUGAUACCUCAUCAUAUAGGAAGCAUUUAAAACAUUUAAGGCUCCCUCUGAGAUGAGCUUUCAAGAGCAAGAAGUUUUGCCAAACCUGCUUGAAUUUUUCUUGAAGAAAGUGUUCUUUAUUAAUGCCUUCCUCUUUUCUGGAGCGGGUAAAAAUGGCCUCCCUAUUCUCAUGGGUAAAAUGAACAUUCCUGCAAAGCUUUUGAAGAUAUGAAAAAAAAUGGUACUUCUUCUGAAGAAAAAAAUUGAGCAAGUCUGAAAUGUUUAGAGCUUCUGAUUAAACCUUCAGUGGUAUGUUUCUCUUACACAAAGCAUUUGUCAAAACUAACAUGUCUGCUAGAGUCUUAUUUAUGCCACUGGACUGAAACUGACCGAAUAAUUUGUGUUGUUUAUUGUUCAGUAAAGAUUU
Molecule: long non-coding RNA, 2182 nt
Organism: Chiroxiphia lanceolata (lance-tailed manakin)
Lineage: Eukaryota; Metazoa; Chordata; Aves; Passeriformes; Pipridae
Exons: 2
Source: RefSeq, a predicted model, not a curated record